RNAcentral lists this ribosomal RNA (252 nucleotides) under uncultured bacterium. RNAcentral describes it as "partial 16S ribosomal RNA". It matches the Rfam family "Bacterial small subunit ribosomal RNA", at positions 524 to 776 of the family's 1533-position model. The record is from RNAcentral.
UACGGGGGGGGCAAGCGUUGUUCGGAAUUACUGGGCGUAAAGGGCGCGUAGGCGGCCUGCUAAGUCGGACGUGAAAUCCCCGGCUCAACCGGGGAACUGCGUCCGAUACUGGUGGGCUCGAAUCCGGGAGAGGGAUGUGGAAUUCCAGGUGUAGCGGUGAAAUGCGUAGAUAUCUGGAGGAACACCGGUGGCGAAGGCGGCAUCCUGGACCGGUAUUGACGCUGAGGCGCGAAAGCCAGGGGAGCAAACGGG